GGCACCAUGGCCUAAUGGUAAGGCGUUGCUUUCCGGUUAGAUAACCUGGCAAAGACUGUGGGUUCGAGUCCCACUGGUGUCG
Molecule: transfer RNA, 82 nt
Filed under: Didymella sp. IMI 355093
Lineage: Eukaryota; Fungi; Ascomycota; Dothideomycetes; Pleosporales; Didymellaceae
Description: tRNA-Arg
Rfam family: tRNA
About the family: Transfer RNA (tRNA) molecules are approximately 80 nucleotides in length. Their secondary structure includes four short double-helical elements and three loops (D, anti-codon, and T loops).
Source: RNAcentral